AGUUUGAUUCUACUCAGAUUGAACGCUGGCGGGAUGCUUUACAUGAUAAAGUCAGAACGGCAGCACGGACUUCGGUCUGUGGCGAGUGGCGAACGGGUGAGUAAUGUAUCGGAACGUGCCUAGUAGCGGGGGAUAACUACGCGAAAGCGUAGCUAAUACCGCAUACGCCCUUCGGGGAAAGCGGGGGACCUUCGGCCUCGCACUAUUAGAGCGGCCGAUAUCGAUUACCAGCUGGCGGGUAACGACUUACUGGUGCGACGAUCAUAUUGGCUUGAGAGGACGCAGACCAGCCACCACUGGGUCUGAGACAUCGGCCCAGACUCCUACGGGAGGCAGCAGUGGGGAAUUUUGGACAAUGGGGGAAACCUGAUCCAGCCAUCUCAAGUGUGCGAUGAAGGCCUUCGGGUUGUAAAGCACUUUUGGCAGGAAAGAAACGGCACGGGAUAAUACCCUGUGCAACUGACGGUACCUGCAGAAUAAGCACCGGCUAACUACGUGCCAGCAGCUGCGGUAAUACGUAGGUGUUGCCAAUCGGAAUUUUACCGGGCGUAAAGCGUGCGCAGGCGGUUCGGAAAGAAAGAUGUGAAAUCCCAGGAGCUUAACUUUGGAACUGCAUUUUUAACUACCGAGCUAGAGUGUGUCAGAGGGAGGUGGGAUCUCCGUGAGUAAAGAACCGCUAGGGACGCGCGGAGGAAUAUCGACACAUGGCAGCUGCAGCUCCCCGCGAUAACACUGACGCUCGCACGCAUCGAAGCAAAACGGAGCAAACAGGAUUCAGGACACCCCUGGUAAGCAGUCCACGCCGCCAAACGAUGUCAAAUCUUCAUCGUUGGGGCCUUCGGGCCUUGCAGCGCAGCUAACGCGCAAAGUUGACCGCCUGGGGAGUACGGUCGCAAGAUUAAAACUCAAAGGAAUUGACGGGGACUCGCACAGCGGUGGAUGAUGUGGAUUAAUUCGAUGCAACGCGAAAAACCUUUACCUACCCUUGACAUGUCUGGAAUCCCGAAGAGAUUUGGGAGUGCUCGCAAGAGAACCGAACACAGGUGCUGCAUGGCUGUCGUCAGCUCGUGUCGUGAGAUGUUGGGUUAAGUCCCGCAACGAGCGCAACCCUUGUCAUUAGUUGCUGCUGAAAGGGCAAUUUAAUGAGACUGCCGGUGACAAACCGGAGGAAUGCUCGUGGGGAAGGGAGCUCGACGUCAAGUCCUUCACGCAUCCCAGGGCAGUAGGGCUUCACACGUCAUACAAUGGUCGGGCAGAGGGUCGCCACCCGCGAGGGGAGCCAAUCCUAUGCAGUCCGAUCGUAGGCAUCCUCGAUCCGCAGUCUGCAACUCGACUGGUGAAGUCGGAAUCGCUAGUAAUCGCGGAUCCAGCACGUCGGGUAUGGUAUCCGGUCUUGCAAGAUCCGCCCGCUGCUUCACCAUGGGGAGGUUUUACCAGAAGUAGUUAGCGUCGAACCAAGAUGCUUAUCACUGUAGUGACCAUGACCAAGAAAUGCACUGCUGCAG
RNAcentral lists this ribosomal RNA (1505 nucleotides) under uncultured Bordetella sp. RNAcentral's name for it is "partial 16S-23S ribosomal RNA intergenic spacer". It matches the Rfam family "Bacterial small subunit ribosomal RNA". The record is from RNAcentral. Lineage: Bacteria; Pseudomonadati; Pseudomonadota; Betaproteobacteria; Burkholderiales; Alcaligenaceae.